RNAcentral lists this unclassified non-coding RNA (200 nucleotides) under Coprinellus sp. RNAcentral's name for it is "partial internal transcribed spacer 2". Lineage: Eukaryota; Fungi; Basidiomycota; Agaricomycetes; Agaricales; Psathyrellaceae. The record is from RNAcentral.
UUAAGUUCAGCGGGUAGUCCUACCUGAUUUGAGGUCAAAUUGUCAAAAGUUGUCCUUGCGGACGGUUAGAAGCAAGUCUAAGAACCAUCCACGGCGUAGAUAAUUAUCACACCAAUAGACGGAGCUCAGUUUGAACUCGCUAAUGCAUUUCAGGGGAGCAGACCGCACUGAGGCAGCCUGCACAAACCCCCACGUCCAAG